Molecule: non-coding RNA, 30 nt
Filed under: Rattus norvegicus (Norway rat)
Lineage: Eukaryota; Metazoa; Chordata; Mammalia; Rodentia; Muridae
Source: RNAcentral
UUUCUUCGGUAAUCAAAUGGUAGCCAGGAA